GGGGGGGGGGGGGGGGGGGGGUGGGGGGGGGGGGGGGGGGGGGCGGACGGGGAGGGGGCUGCUGUGGGGUGGGUGGCGGCCGGGGGAGUAACACGGGGGUAACCUACCUAUAAGACUGGGGUAGCUUCGGGGAACCUGGACUGGUUCCGGGUAAUGUUUUAACCCGCAUUGUUCAGAAGUGAACUACUCUCUUACAGUCACUUAUAGCUUGAUCCGCGCUGCAUUAGCUAUUUGGUAAGGUAACGUCUUACCAAGUCAACGAUGCAUCGCCGAGCUGAGAGGGUGAUAGGCCACACUGGAACUGAGACACGGUCCAGACUCCUACGGGAGGCAGCAGUAGGGAAUCUUCCGCAAUGGGCGAAAGCCUGACGGAGCAACGCCGCGUGAGUGAUGAAGGUCUUCGGAUCGUAAAACUCUGUUAUUAGGGAAGAACAUAUGUGUAAGUAACUGUGCACAUCUUGACGGUACCUAAUCAGAAAGCCACGGCUAACUACGUG
Molecule: ribosomal RNA, 497 nt
Filed under: uncultured bacterium
Lineage: Bacteria
Description: partial 16S ribosomal RNA
Rfam family: Bacterial small subunit ribosomal RNA
Source: RNAcentral